UACGUAGGGGGCUAGCGUUGUCCGGAAUCAUUGGGCGUAAAGAGCGUGUAGGCGGCCCGGUAAGUCCGCUGUGAAAGUCGGGGGCUCAACCCUCGAAUGCCGGUGGAUACUGUCGGGCUAGAGUGCGGAAGAGGCGAGUGGAAUUCCUGGUGUAGCGGUGAAAUGCGCAGAUAUCAGGAGGAACACCAAUUGCGAAGGCAGCUCGCUGGGCAGUAACUGACGCUGAGGAGCGAAAGCGUGGGGAGCGAACGGG
Molecule: ribosomal RNA, 253 nt
Filed under: uncultured bacterium
Lineage: Bacteria
Description: partial 16S ribosomal RNA
Rfam family: Bacterial small subunit ribosomal RNA
Source: RNAcentral